RNAcentral lists this ribosomal RNA (121 nucleotides) under Microcebus murinus (gray mouse lemur). The record is from RNAcentral. Lineage: Eukaryota; Metazoa; Chordata; Mammalia; Primates; Cheirogaleidae.
GUCUAUGGUCAUACCGCCCUGAAGGUACCCGAUCUCUUCUGAUCUCAGAAACUAAGCAGGGUCAGGCCUGGUUAGCACUUGGAUGGGAGAAGACCACAGCAGAGAAACUGAAUGAUAACUU